UCAUACUUCUUCCUUCCUUCAUAUCUCCAUAUCUCCCUUCUCAGGCUCUAGGGCUUGAGAGGGUGGUAACGGCUUGUGACAACUACUCCACCGAAAAAAUCUUUCAGUACCAGUAACCGACUCCGCCAAAAUCCACAACGAUGUAUGGUUGGAUGGGACAGAGAAGCCACUCCUUGCUGCAUCCAACCGGCCUCACAACCACAGACCACGUGUAACCACGCCAGCCCAGGACCUCCACAUCCAGCUUCUUCACCUGUGGGAUCGUCUGAGACCAGCCACCAGGACAGCUGAUGAAAUUGAGGAGUAUUUCUGUGUGUAAUAAAUCCCUUUUGUGUGGAAAACUCAUUCUGAUUGGCUGGGCCUGGCUCCCACUGGUUGAAUCAAUGUUGUUUCCACAUCAUUUCAAUUAAAUUACGUUGAACCAACAUGGAAUAGACAUUAAAUUGACGUCUGUGUCCUGUGAGCUGGUAGUAGUAGUUGGUUAGACAAUUUGACCAUUGGAAAAAGAGCUACUGCAUAAAUACUGCAAUGCGGGUUUUAUUGAAUUGAGUCCAAAGUGUUAAUGAAAUUAUAAUUAUUAUAAACUCGGUUUAGGGUGGGGACGGUUUGAAUUCCCCAAGCAAUCAACCUAACCUGGCUCUUACAUAUUGUCCACAAGACAAACUUACACCCCUUCCCUCACUUCCUUACUUAGGCAGGGAUUUAAGUUGCCCUUUUCUGCAAUUAAAUGACCGAGUGGCCUCAUGGGUGGAAUGUUAUUAAUAUUUUAAUAAUUUCAUAAUUAAUCAACUUUUCUUUUUUUUUUUUACACAGAAAAUCUGGUGUUUCUAUGUCAAACGGUUUUGUUAUAUUUCAGUCUUCUGUGAUGCACAGUAUAUAAAGUGUAAUGUUGGAAUGCAAACUCCAAUUGAAUACAUUUAAAUUCUAUAUCUGACAUGUUACAGGUAUCUUCUUUUUUUUGUGAGGUAUAUACUUUUUGUUCAAAGUAGAUUUGUUUAAGACUACCAAGAAACACUGUGUGGCCGAUUUUGCCCACUGCAGUAAAUGGAUUAAAGGUGCGUUGUUGACAAGCGCAUUGCACUGUCGACAAUGCACCUCUUAAAGGCAAUGUUCUCGAAGCUUGUGGAGAUUACAUUCAUUGUAAACACUGUAGAUUUUCGGGUUUAAGUUUAAAUAAAAGGUUUGCGCAGGACUGAUUUCUUCAUCCCACUCCUGCUGCUUUUGCACGCUC
Long non-coding RNA from Oncorhynchus nerka (sockeye salmon), 1231 nucleotides. RefSeq lists it as uncharacterized. The record is from RefSeq and is a predicted model, not a curated record. Lineage: Eukaryota; Metazoa; Chordata; Actinopteri; Salmoniformes; Salmonidae. The transcript has 2 exons.